ACGUUCACAGGAAUCCAUUUGACAACAUAGCAACCAUUAUGCUUCGCGCUACGGGCUCACGUGACGCUGUUAGAGAAGAAGGAGUAAAAAUAAACAACGCGACAAAACUAGACAAUUCUAUUGACUUUUACUCAGUAUUGGCAGCCAUUAACCAGCGCGUCAAGGAGAGGUACGGAGAUGCAGUUCUUGAUAUUCCAGCACAUGAAACAGUGCUAAGACCCAAGGAAACGCUACAAAGAUUGUGUGACCAUUUGGGUGUCACAUGUUCUGGAGAUUACCUCCAAAGAUGCAGCGAUAUUUUGUAUGGAGCUCCUUCAGUCACCAGAAACACAGUAGUUUGGACCGAGGAGCAAAAACAGCGCGUCAUAAAAAUGAUGGGGAAACACCCUUUUCUAAACGAAUAUUCAUUUGAUAAAUAUCCCAGCUAAGAAAACAGUAAGGUGUGGCUAUAUGUCACGUUUUCCUCAACUCUUAGAGAAAAAUGUUUGAGUCUUUUUGUUACAUUGGCAACAUAUGGUUUUUAAACACUAAUUAAAGUUUUCAAGUACAGUGUUUCAACCCGUUUCAACGCAUUUCCAAACGCACAAGCAUACGUGUAUCUUGGCGAUCAUAGAAUGCCUGUAAACGUGCUUGUAUAGCUAUUAAAGUGCAUGACCAUUAUAAAUGAGAUUUCCUUAGUUUACUUUUUUACUUAUAGAAGUGAGACACUUUGGGGUUGGAUGCGAAAGUGAUGGUAACUGAUAUCACAAUUUAUUUGACUUAUUUACGGGGACUCUUGCCCCAUGAGGUACUUAACAUCAAUAAAACGGAGGGCAGUAUUUUUAGGAUCAGUGUUAAUCCCUUGAACCCAAGGAGGUGCUUCAGUAAAUUUCAGAUAGGUGUGUGCCGCGAGGGUUCUUAAACCCUAUAAAUGCAAAUGGAUACCCUAUGCAAUGUAUGGGAGUUGCAUUGCAAUAUUUCUAAGACAAAAAGUACUCACUGAUGUAACAAAACAGUAAUUUCCUUUCAUCAGAUAACAUAAAUAAAUAAAAAAAAUAGGAAUAUUAAUAAACAAAAACAAAAAAAUAAAUAAAUAAAUAAAUAAUGAUCAAAUGAGUAAUAUUAAAUAAAUUAUACAAGGUUACCCUGUCAGUGUAGAAAUAUUGGUACCAAAAAAAUUUAUAUUAAAUCCUAUCGUAUACCUUUAGAGGUGUCUCGCGUCCAAGCGAUGUAGCACUUUUGGUUUAAACUGUAGAUACUUACACCCCUUAUCAAAUUGAAAGCUCAUCGAGCUGGCUAUCACAUUAAAUCAAGACUUCUGAAAUAAAAUGAAUUGUCGAUUUUUUUACAACUCCUAAAUGCGAGCAUCCGAAUCACCUUUUGAAAGCCACAAGUGAAAGUGAAUUUUGUUUUUUGCUUCUUUAAUUUGUCCCUCAGUUUCUGGAACCAAAACACUAAAAAACAUGUCUGCAAUUUGCCAUAUACAAUUUCAGUGAAAAGUUACAGAACAUUUUCGAAAUAGGAAAAAAUAAUAUGGAGUGAUUGUAGAAAUAUCGCUCUUGGGGAAAAAAAUAUUAUUUUGAAGAUGAAAAAUUUGCUGACCUGCUUAAUUGUCAUUUAUAUGUCGAACUAGCUACUGUCCAAAUUUGAAGGCAGACAAACAAAUUCCCUUUGACUUCUAGCUUUCAAAAGGGACCCAAAUGAUGAUUCAGAUGCUCACAUUUAGAGGUCUUGAAAAAUUUGACAAUUCAUUUUAUUUCAGAAUUCUUAGUACGGUGUGAUAGCUACCUCUAUAACCUUUUAUGGGGUUUACGUAUAUCUACAGUUUAAACCAGACGUGCAACAUCACUUGGACAUGAGACAGUACACAGUAACCUUACAUAACAGGAAUCCCAAAAUUAAAAGUAAAUAUAGCACAGCCAUCUUAUUAAUAUUCAAAUUUAACACAGCAUUUCACAUAGAUGUAGGAAGGUAGUCAAAUUGAAUUAUAGAUAUUAUACCCCAAAUGAUUAUUACGAAUGACUGCAUUGCUACAUGACACUUAAAAAGUAUAAUAACUAAGGUAAAAACAACCAUCAAAAGCCUUAUUCUACAAACUAUAUAAGGUGAGAACAGCUGGUAGCAGAAUAGGUAUUCCCAGAUUUCACCUCUGCUCCAAAAUCAAGGAGGGUUGCGGGAGGUGGGGGGUCGGGGGGAAGUGGGUGCCUUCUGCAUUUGAACUACAUACAGUAGUUAUACCCUCCCCUCCCUCCCUGCUUUGCCAUCCCCCCUUUUUUUCCUAAUAGCCCUUAAACAACAUGCUUGCAGCCAUUAAGAGACCUUAUAUUUGAUUGACUACCAGUUCAGAUAACAAUACACCUUGUCAAGUUCACCAUGUAUUUUUCAUUAUUUUGAGGAAUAACUGCUUUUUCAUAAGAGCUUGAAUUUGACAGAUACCAUUUAAACUGAGCUUGUUCAGAGCUUUUUAUUAAACAUGGGGUCAUACCUGCAUUGAAGAUGGACAGUUAGGGGUGAGAAAUCUAGAAAUUUGAAAGUGGCCCACUUUGAGACCAAUUUAAUGUUUUAAAUGGCUCAAUUGCAAAUUUUCUUGAACAGUGAAUUAAUAUUUAACCAUAGCACUCACUCAAGUACAUUUUUGUUGGGAAGGGACUAGAUAUUGAAAUCGUAAGAUAUUACAAAAAUAUGCAUAUAUGACGUCACAAAAAACACGGGGGUCACCCGUCAAUCAAAAAAAAAAAUGUCAUUAUUGAGAAGUAAACUUUAUCUUGUAAAAAAAUAAUAAUAAAAAAUAAAAGACAUAAUAUUUCGUACUUCCCUUUCUUAGUUCUGCGGCAUAAGCUGUCGGCAGCUGGCCACCUCAAAACAGCCACACUAAAAAGAAAUGUCAGUGUUGAUGUAAACAGCAUGGAAACAGCCGUGUGAACUUCUCAAUCAUAAGAACUAAACGAAAAUUCUUGCCCAACCAAAUUAGACAUACUUCUGCGUGGUGUUAAAAUGCUGUCUUGGGAAUCUGCCUUGGCUGCGAUAUGACUGCAGAUAACAAGAGCCCAACGACGAAAUCGCUGAAAUCGGCCAUAUUUCUUUACCAAUGAUUGACAAGGACUGGGAGCAAAUUCCUUAUUUGUCAAUUAAUAUAGCACUGUGAGACUGGCGCGAGCGGUUUAAAAGAGCGGGAAAUCAGAAAUAUGGCGGCCGAUGCCCGGCAUUUUGUUUGACCUUGGAUUGGGGAGGUUUUGUGUCUUGCAUUUGCUUUUACAUGACUGUGAUAAGGCUUGAUAAACAAGUAAGAAUUAAAGAAAAUGAAAGUGCUGCGUGGGUAUAAAAUAGCCGUAAAUAACGAAAACCAACGUCUCCCAAACAAGCCCUCAUUUUGCAUUCCUGCGAGAAGCGUCAUGGCUGCGAGACUCGAAAGAAAAAAGAACCUUUGUAUUACGUCUGUAACUCUUGAGGGACACAUACCAUGUCUCUAGUUGCAACUACGUCACGAUAGAGUGGUUUUCACUGGAGUGUCGAAAGCACUGGUUUGGCAUUACUAUACGGUACGCGAUCGACUGGCUUAAAAACUCAGAAACUGAAAUUAUUUCA
This 3564-nucleotide long non-coding RNA is filed under the name Orbicella faveolata. RNAcentral describes it as "uncharacterized LOC110068568". Lineage: Eukaryota; Metazoa; Cnidaria; Anthozoa; Scleractinia; Merulinidae. The record is from RNAcentral.